ACGAACGCUGGCGGCGUGCUUAACACAUGCAAGUCGAGCGGGAACCCAGGGAGGGGCAACUCUCCUUGGGGGAGAGCGGCGAACGGGUGAGUACCACGUGGGCAACCUGCCCCAGACACUGGGAUAACUCCGGGAAACCGGGGCUAAUACCGGAUACUCCGACCGGACCGCAUGAUCCGGUCGGGAAAGCUCCGACGGUCUGGGAUGGGCCCGCGGCCUAUCAGCUUGUUGGUGAGGUAACGGCCCACCAAGGCGACGACGGGUAGCUGGUCUGAGAGGACGGCCAGCCACACUGGGACUGAGACACGGCCCAGACUCCUACGGGAGGCAGCAGUGGGGAAUAUUGCGCUAAUGCGCGAAAGCGUGACGCAGCGACGCCGCGUGGGGGAUGAAGGCCCUCGGGUCGUAAACCCCUUUCGCCAGGGACGAAGCGAAAGUGACGGUACCUGGAGAAGAAGUCCCGGCUAACUACGU
This 474-nucleotide ribosomal RNA is filed under the name uncultured bacterium. RNAcentral describes it as "bacterial SSU rRNA". It matches the Rfam family "Bacterial small subunit ribosomal RNA", at positions 29 to 506 of the family's 1533-position model. The record is from RNAcentral.